Molecule: ribosomal RNA, 1397 nt
Filed under: Bacillus thuringiensis
Lineage: Bacteria; Bacillati; Bacillota; Bacilli; Caryophanales; Bacillaceae
Description: partial 16S ribosomal RNA
Rfam family: Bacterial small subunit ribosomal RNA
Source: RNAcentral
AUAGCCGUCCCGGUGAUACUGGGUCUAGGGGGCUCGGGCCCCCCGUUCAAUUUUUUUCCUUUUGGAUCUGUGUCUAGUUUCUCGGCUUCCUGCCUGUUCGAUUGUUAUCUUUCCUGGCCACCGGACCUCAUACCCGAUAACGCCUUCUCUUGCUAAAAGAAAAUUGAAAGAUGGUUUCGGCUAUCACUUACAGAUGGGCCCGCGGUGCAUUAGCUAGUUGGUGAGGUAACGGCUCACCAAGGCAACGAUGCAUAGCCAACCUGAGAGGGUGAUCGGCCACACUGGGACUGAAACACGGCCCAAACUCCUACGGGAGGCAGCAAUAGGGAAUCUUCCGCAAUGGACGAAAGUCUGACGGAUCACCGCCGCGUGAUUGAAGAAGGCUUUCAGGUCGACAAACUCUGUUGUUAGGGAAGAACAAGUACAAGAGUAACUGCUUGUACCUUGACGGUACCUAACCAGAAAGCCACGGCUAACUACGUGCCAGCAGCCGCGGUAAUACGUAGGUGGCAAGCGUUAUCCGGAAUUAUUGGGCGUAAAGCGCGCGCAGGCGGUUUCGUUUCUUAAGUCUGAUGUGAAAGCCCACGGCUCAACCGUGGAGGGUCAUUGGAAACUGGGGAACUUGAGUGCAGAAGAGAAAAGCGGAAUUCCACGUGUAGCGGUGAAAUGCGUAGAGAUGUGGAGGAACACCAGUGGCGAAGGCGGCUUUUUGGUCUGUAACUGACGCUGAGGCGCGAAAGCGUGGGGAGCAAACAGGAUUAGAUACCCUGGUAGUCCACGCCGUAAACGAUGAGUGCUAAGUGUUAGAGGGUUUCCGCCCUUUAGUGCUGCAGCUAACGCAUUAAGCACUCCGCCUGGGGAGUACGGUCGCAAGACUGAAACUCAAAGGAAUUGACGGGGGCCCGCACAAGCGGUGGAGCAUGUGGUUUAAUUCGAAGCAACGCGAAGAACCUUACCAGGUCUUGACAUCCUCUGACAACUCUAGAGAUAGAGCGUUCCCCUUCGGGGGACAGAGUGACAGGUGGUGCAUGGUUGUCGUCAGCUCGUGUCGUGAGAUGUUGGGUUAAGUCCCGCAACGAGCGCAACCCUUGAUCUUAGUUGCCAGCAUUAAGUUGGGCACUCUAAGGUGACUGCCGGUGACAAACCGGAGGAAGGUGGGGAUGACGUCAAAUCAUCAUGCCCCUUAUGACCUGGGCUACACACGUGCUACAAUGGAUGGUACAAAGGGCUGCAAGACCGCGAGGUCAAGCCAAUCCCAUAAAACCAUUCUCAGUUCGGAUUGUAGGCUGCAACUCGCCUACAUGAAGCUGGAAUCGCUAGUAAUCGCGGAUCAGCAUGCCGCGGUGAAUACGGACCCGGGCCUUGUACACACCGCCCGUCUCUCCACUUGGUCACCU